GGAUGUGACUCAGAAUGGAUAAGGUGUCUGACUUCGGAUCAGAAGAUUGAGGGUUCGAGUCCCUUCGUGGUCG
Molecule: transfer RNA, 73 nt
Filed under: Megalops atlanticus (tarpon)
Lineage: Eukaryota; Metazoa; Chordata; Actinopteri; Elopiformes; Megalopidae
Description: tRNA-Arg
Rfam family: tRNA
About the family: Transfer RNA (tRNA) molecules are approximately 80 nucleotides in length.
Source: RNAcentral